RNAcentral lists this ribosomal RNA (253 nucleotides) under uncultured bacterium. RNAcentral's name for it is "partial 16S ribosomal RNA". It matches the Rfam family "Bacterial small subunit ribosomal RNA", at positions 524 to 776 of the family's 1533-position model. The record is from RNAcentral.
UACGAAGGGUGCAAGCGUUGCUCGGAAUUACUGGGCGUAAAGCGUACGCAGGCGGUCCAUCAAGUCAGGCGUGAAAGUCCGGGGCUCAACUCCGGGAGGUCGUCUGAAACUAUUGGACUUGAGUACGGGAGAGGGGUGUGGAAUUCCCAGUGUAGAAGUGAAAUUCGUAGAUAUUGGGAGGAACACCGGUGGCGAAGGCGACACCCUGGCCCGAAACUGACGCUCAUGUACGAAAGCGUGGGGAGCAAACAGG